CCUAUGCUCGAAUACAUUAGCAUGGAAUAAUAGAAUAGGACGUGUGGUUCUAUUUUGUUGGUUUCUAGGACCGCCGUAAUGAUUAAUAGGGACAGUCGGGGGCAUCAGUAUUCAAUUGUCAGAGGUGAAAUUCUUGGAUCUAUUGAAGACUAACUACUGCGAAAGCAUUUGCCAAGGAUGUUUUCAUUGAUAAGGAACGAAAGUUAGGGGAUCGAAGACGAUCAGAUACCGUCGUAGUCUUAACUAUAAACUAUGCCGACUAGGGAUCGGACGAUGUUAUUCUUUGACGCGUUCGGCACCUUUCGAGAAAUCAAAGUGCUUGGGCUCCAGGGGGAGUAUGGUCGCAAGGCUGAAACUUAAAGAAAUUGACGGAAGGGCACCACCAGGGGUGGAACCUGCGGCUUAAUUUGACUCAACA
RNAcentral lists this ribosomal RNA (418 nucleotides) under Lomentospora prolificans. Its description in RNAcentral is "Scedosporium prolificans Eukaryotic small subunit ribosomal RNA". It matches the Rfam family "Eukaryotic small subunit ribosomal RNA", at positions 788 to 1205 of the family's 1831-position model. The record is from Rfam by way of RNAcentral. Lineage: Eukaryota; Fungi; Ascomycota; Sordariomycetes; Microascales; Microascaceae.